CUCCCUGCUCCCCGCAGUCCCCACAUGCAGCAGCAGACUAGUGGGUAGAACUGCUGGGGUAUGGAGACAUCCCCAACCUCAGCAGCAGCAAUUCCAGCGCCCCGCCCCCAACCCUCAGGCAUGAAGAGCAGGGUGUGUGGAAACUGUCUAUGGAUGCAUGUCCCUUGAAGUCUGACCUCCACCAGUACAUUGCCUGGGUUAAAUUCCACACAUGUCUGACCCUGAAGCCAGUACUGUGAGUGUCCUUCGGCGAAAGCAAGCCCUCCUCCAUCUCUUCUGUAACUUCCUAGGUACUGGGCUCAUCGAGCAAUUUAAAUCUUUCAAAAUGAUUGAUCAGGGCUUAUCCACUCGAGAUUUUACUUAUGGUUGAUGUUAUUUUUCAAGUCAACGACCAAUUCCAGUAACAGCACUGAUUAAACAUACCCUCUCUCUGCUAUGCACUGAAAUACCAUCUUUCCGGCUUUUUACCUCUGAAUGGACUGGGCAUGGUUGCAGGCAGCUUUGAGCCCAGCACUCUGGAGGCAGGUGGAACUCUGUGAGUCUAAGGCCAGCCUAGUCUAGAAAGAGAGUUCCAGGACAGCCAGGGCUACAUAAUGAAACCCUGUAUCAAAACACAGCCAACAAACUUCGAAAUGGGCCUUGAAUGGCUUUUAUAAUUCUUGCUCUCCUAAUCUACAAACUUGCUGUGUCAAAGCCAUGCAGCUUUUCACGUUAUUCUAUCAGCUUGGUGCAGAGUUUUAGCAACAGGCACAAGUGUUCUACAUCAGUGUUUUUCACAGAUAAAAUGCUGCUGGUGAAAUGGAAAUAUUUAGAAUUGCUUCAACAUAAAUGUUAAAUGCUUUUAUAGGACCCAUGGAAAACCCUGUUGACGUUCUGAUUAAAAUUAAGGUUCUUAUCCCUUUGGAAAUCGCUGACACCCGUGGUUAUUAAUCCCUCCGUUCCAAGGGCAUUUCACACUUCCCCGUUGGUUCAAAGGUGGCUUUUAUAACCUGUGACAAAAUGUCAUGAUUUUCUCUAAGAAGCUCCUCUAACUUUUGAUAGUUUAACAGCUAACUUUACAAUGUAAUAAAAUAGAAAUUCCCCCCAA
Mastomys coucha (southern multimammate mouse) is the source of this 1087-nucleotide long non-coding RNA. RefSeq lists it as uncharacterized. The transcript is spliced from 3 exons. Lineage: Eukaryota; Metazoa; Chordata; Mammalia; Rodentia; Muridae. The record is from RefSeq and is a predicted model, not a curated record.